RNAcentral lists this ribosomal RNA (216 nucleotides) under uncultured bacterium. Its description in RNAcentral is "partial 16S ribosomal RNA". It matches the Rfam family "Bacterial small subunit ribosomal RNA", at positions 118 to 351 of the family's 1533-position model. The record is from RNAcentral.
UGGGAACGUGCCUUUCGGUUCGGGACAACCCAGGGAAACUUGGGCUAAUACCGGAUACGCCCUUCGGGGGAAAGAUUCAUUGCCGAAAGAUCGGCCCGCGUCGGAUUAGCUAGUUGGUGGGGUAAAAGCCUACCAAGGCGACGAUCCGUAGCUGGUCUGAGAGGAUGACCAGCCACACUGGGACUGAGACACGGCCCAGACUCCUACGGGAGGCAG